UACGGGGGGGGCAAGCGUUGUUCGGAAUUACUGGGUGUAAAGGGCUCGUAGGCGGCCAACUAAGUCUGACGUGAAAUCCCCCGGCUUAACUGGGGAACUGCGUCAGGUACUGGUUGGCUUGAGUUCGGGAGAGGGACGUGGAAUUCCAGGUGUAGCGGUGAAAUGCGUAGAUAUCUGGAGGAACACCGGUGGCGAAGGCGGCGUCCUGGACCGACACUGACGCUGAGGAGCGAAAGCCAGGGGAGCAAACGGG
RNAcentral lists this ribosomal RNA (253 nucleotides) under uncultured bacterium. RNAcentral's name for it is "partial 16S ribosomal RNA". It matches the Rfam family "Bacterial small subunit ribosomal RNA", at positions 524 to 776 of the family's 1533-position model. The record is from RNAcentral.